AGCAGCCAUACCUUUUCUAUUUGUCUUCUCUCUCUUGUCCCCUGCGCCUCCAGACUCCCUCCUUGUCCAUACCUCAAAUUUCUCCAUUCUUCUCCAUUUUCUCCCUCUGUUUCUCGAUCUUCUCACUCCAGGGCAGCGGCAGCACCACCACCACAAUCAGUUGCAACAACUGCAACAACACCACUUCUACCAGCUGUGGUGGUCUUGCCGCCCAACACAGCCAACAAGUAUGCAGCGACCACCUUCAUCUAUGCUUAAGAUGGCUCUGGAUCUGCGGAGUGUGGAGAGAAAGGGUAAAUUUGCAGCCGAAUGCGGAAAAAAGAAAUGUGCUUCAAGCUCCAGUCUCUCAAAACCCUAUCCUUCACUCUCUGCAUCGUGACCUGCCAAGCAUCCUGCAUGCAACUCUAUUUAGACCAUCUUCAUCAUCAUGUCCCUUGCACCGUGUCUCUCCCUCUCCGUCGCAGUGAGGUCGAGGAACUCAGAGAAGGGACCUCCGACGGAUUUCUCCAUUUCUUCCGACUAGGUAAGUUCAAUUACCUUUUUAAUUUACCAUGUUGGUUUCUGGACGUUGUAUGAUGAAAACCAUGUUGUUCUUCCAAGGUUUGAGGACGGGAACGGCACGGGGGAAACUCACCCAUAUUGUCCGGCGAACCCGUGACUUUCGAGGAUUCUUUCCGAGCUCUCACGGCCGUACACGGCGAAGCUAGGGUGAAGUUGCUAGUGAAGAAAUUCUUAAUCCUUAUCUGCACAACUCUACUGCUAAGGAGUACUUGACUUAGGAUCAAGGCACCUAAUCCCGGCGACAAGACACUUCUGCAGCAGCAUCUUUGAAUCCUCUCGAUGUAGGACCCACUUCUUUAUUCAUUCAAUUUCAUCUUAAUUCUUCUUAGUGAUUAGGUUUAGUUGUAUAUUCUGAGCACGUUCCUAAAAUUUUUAAUUCAUUGUAUUCUAAA
Malus domestica (apple) is the source of this 953-nucleotide non-coding RNA. NCBI's taxonomy places the organism in Eukaryota, Viridiplantae, Streptophyta, Magnoliopsida, Rosales, Rosaceae. The record is from RefSeq and is a predicted model, not a curated record.